AUAUAUUUGGGGUAGUGUCAGUCCAACCAACACUAUAAUAUUUUAAAACAUAAAAUUAGGGGUAAUGUCGACUUACCCAACGAUUAUGAGUAUUUUUUUUUUUAAAUAUUACUAAACACUUCACUUUCACACUAUGUCCAUUUUCUCCUUCUUCUUCACAGAAAAACACAACCAUUUUUUCUUCUCCAAUAGCUCUAACACCCCCAACACACACACACACACAAUUACUACUUCCAACUCCACAUCCCACUACCUGUUAGGUUUAUCGAGGACGAGGUUCAUUGGGGAGAUACAACACCAAUGAGACUUGAGCCCAACCACAUAAGAGAUUGACACCACUCUCUACCCAAAAUCUUAAGGCUAAUGGGUUAAUGGAUUUUCCACCUUAUAUGGUGCUCUACUUUCUUAUUUCUACCCAAUGUGAGACUUAGACUCACACUUGAAAUUCUAACCGUCUCCCCCUUCAAGGGGAGUCCCUUCCACAUUGGUACACUUCCUCUCUAGCAGAAGCAUUCGAGUAUUUUUUUUUUUUCGUUUUGUUGUUCAUCUUAACGAGACACUCUUACUUGGAAUAAUUUUCCAUGAAGACUUUUGUACUCAUUUGAGCCUAACUUGGCUCUGAUACCACUUAUUAGUUUAUCGAGGAGGAGGUUUAUUAGGGAGAUACAACAUCAAUGAGACCUGAGCCCAACCACAUAAGGGAUUAACAUCACUCUCUACCACAACCCUUAAGGCUAAUGGGUUAAUGGAUCUUCAACCUUAUAUGAUGCUCUACUUUUUCAUUUCUACCCAAUGUGAGACUUAUACUCACAUUUGGAAUUCUAACACUACCUAAAACACUCUCAUUUUCACCUUCUCCAUCCUUUUUUACAUUAAAAUACCAUACUCCACCCACCGACAACACCCAAGAACCAUACAUUCAUGUCAUUCCCUUCUCUUAUUCUCCUUACUUCCUUACUCAACUCACCCACAUUUCAUAGAGCACUCAUCAUCCACACAAAACACUCAUUUUCUUCUUUUUCUUCUUCAUUUUUUAAUUAGCCCUUAUCAAAGAACUAAGUCCAUACCAUCUCCACUCACCCUCACCACCUUACCUCAUUCAUGUUGCAUUGACCAUUAAAUCAACCUAUAUAUAAAUUGUUCAAACAUAGAUUCGUGGUUCAAAAUUUGGACCAUUAGAUCAAAAUUAAUCUAUGAUUCUUAUUCAUUCCCACCAACACACAUAAAUUCAUAAUAUAUAAUUUAGUAU
This 1249-nucleotide long non-coding RNA is filed under the name Vigna radiata. Its description in RNAcentral is "long non-coding RNA (VRAD_LNC015067)". The record is from RNAcentral. Lineage: Eukaryota; Viridiplantae; Streptophyta; Magnoliopsida; Fabales; Fabaceae.